UCUUUCAGUUUUCAUUCUCGCGAGCGUAAGUAAAGUGCGCAGUUGUAUGACAAAAACGGAAAUAAUAGAAAUUCUUCAGGUUUACAGCUCUAAAAUUAUUUAAAACGCAAUAAACAUUAAGAUUAAAUGUGAUCGCACAACUGAGUGGUGAAUUCGGUAACAAAUUUUAAGUUUAAAUGGUAGAUUUCGCAUAUUUCUCGUGAGUGACGCCACUUUUCACAUGGCAGCACACUUUGCAAUGCAGGAACCGUUACUUUUCUUUUGUGCGCGUGCUUCGUAAGUGCGCACUUGUUCGAUCUCUGUGUAUUUGUUGUUUUAACAUAACCUUACCUAACAGAACGGUUAAAAGAUAAAUUGUAAAUUUGUAUACACAUGCAUAUGAAACUCCUCGUGUUUUCGGCUUUAAAAUUGUUUAAAACGCAAUAAAGAUUUAUAUUAAAUGUGAUCGCACAAGUGCGUGGUGAAUUCGGUAUCGAAUUUUAAGUUUAAAUGGUAGAUUUCGCAUAUUUUUCGUGAGUGACGCUUCUUUUCACAUGGCAGCAAACUUUGCAAUGCAGGAACCGUUACUUUUCUUUUGUGCGCGUGUUUCGUAAGUGCGCGUGUUUCGAUCUCCGUGGAUUUGUUGUCUUAACCUAAUCUAUCUUAACCUAACGAUAAACUUAUGCAAUUCAACCAUUCUGUGCAGCGGGUCCCUCGGUCCUUUUGGACAUUCAGUGCAGAGGCGCGUUGGCAACCGCCUGCUACCUUGCCAGGACCUUCCGCCACCGCCAACAACAAGCGAGCAGGCGAACAACGGCAGCAUCCAGGGCAGCCAUCAAAAAAGGCUUUCAAUGGUAGACGAGGUCCUGCCACUGCCACCACCCACUUGCCUCGCCACUCCACUCCACUCCAUCACCCCAUCACCCCAUCACCCCAUCACCCUUCCCGCCCCGCCGCCUCCUCGUCGACCUCCGCGAACUCGCCAUCCUGCAAAGUCUACAUCCGAAGUCCUGUUGUCCGUUUUCCCGUUGCCAUGUUGGACGGCAAUGGCGAUAUUUGCUUUCCUUUCCGCCAUGAAACGGAAUGAAAUGCGAGGAGGCGGGAUGGUCAGGGGGUGGCAAAAAGGGGCUGGUAAAGGGGUUGGCCGGACUGGCCUGCGAAAUGUGGGUGGGCCGCGCACAUGGGGUGGAUAUUUCGCCAUUAUUGUAGCAAUUUUGAUCAAUGGCCCUAUAUUCCCGGCAAGCGCUGUCCGCCAACCCGAAAAGGACGAAGCAAAGGACCUACGACCUGCACACACAGCAUCCAAAUUAUUCGCUGUACCCUUAAAUAUGAUUGCAUAUGAAGGUUGGCAAUUCAUGGGGUUACAUCAAGCCAGAUUCAGACAUAUCUCGCGUCUGUUUCUCUGCGUCUGUGGCUGAAAAUCGGAAAAGCGGGAAAGCCUGCUGUGUACAGUAACACAAAUCGAAGCGGACACUAUAAAUAGCCACCCUCCGCGACGACGAAGGCGAAGACGAAGAAGAAGACGCCGGCUGUGGCGCAUCAAUAUCCAUCCAUCGUUUUGGGUUGAAUCGGAGGAAGGAGCGCACGGAUGCCGCCGAGGAUGUGUAUAUGCCAUGGAUAUGGACGCUGCUACUGGUACCAGAAGUACGGAGUACGGAGCACUGCUCGAUUAUCCGCUGGAGUGUGGGGGGAGGGGGUGGGGGGAGGCUAUUCCCUUGGCUGCCGGACGGUUGGCUAAAUGAAACACAUUCGGAGCGACAUUAAGUAAACAGACUAGCAACCAUGUCAAUGUCAAACGCACUCGCCGACGUCGACGUCGCUGUUACCGCCGCUGCUGCCGCCGCCGCUGCGAAUGCCACUGCCACUGCCGCCGCCUCUGCUAGCGACGCAGUCAACGUCGGGCACAUGUGCGUGGCCAUGUAACGGGAAAAGAGGCCGUGUGGACACCGCUGGCAGGACCCCCAUCCCCGUCCCACGCAGCCCCACCUCCACAUCUUUGUGCGCCACAGUAGGCGCACGUCCAGCAAACAAACUUUUGAGUGCAUUCUUGCAUAAUUUCAUUUUCAUAAAUUUAGCAUUCUUUAUCAAACCAUAUUGACCAAUUAUAUAAAUUUCAUGUUUUGCUUACAAUAAAAUGAAAUAUAUCAACGAAAU
RNAcentral lists this long non-coding RNA (2133 nucleotides) under Drosophila melanogaster (fruit fly). Its description in RNAcentral is "long non-coding RNA:CR44357 (Dmel_CR44357)". The record is from RNAcentral. Lineage: Eukaryota; Metazoa; Arthropoda; Insecta; Diptera; Drosophilidae.